GGAUGUUGUGGCUCAGUGGUGGAGCGUCAGCUUUGCAUGGUGGAGAUCCCAGGUUCAAAUCUGGGUAUUGCUA
Molecule: transfer RNA, 73 nt
Filed under: Sphaerodactylus townsendi
Lineage: Eukaryota; Metazoa; Chordata; Lepidosauria; Squamata; Sphaerodactylidae
Description: tRNA-Ala
Source: RNAcentral